Molecule: ribosomal RNA, 253 nt
Filed under: uncultured bacterium
Lineage: Bacteria
Description: partial 16S ribosomal RNA
Rfam family: Bacterial small subunit ribosomal RNA
Source: RNAcentral
AACGUAGGUUCCGAGCGUUAUCCGGAUUUACUGGGCGUAAAGCGCGUUCAGGCGGUUUGGCAAGUCGGGCCUGAAAUCUCUCGGCUCAACCGGGAGAGGUUGUCCGAUACUGCUGGACUUGAGGGCAGUAGAGGGUGGUGGAAUUCCGGGUGUAGUGGUGAAAUGCGCAGAUAUCAGGAGGAACACCGGUGGUGUAGACGGCUCUCUGGACCGUAACUGACGCUGAGGCACGAAAGCGUGGGUAGCAAACAGG